Gasterosteus aculeatus aculeatus (three-spined stickleback) is the source of this 1130-nucleotide long non-coding RNA. The record is from Ensembl. NCBI's taxonomy places the organism in Eukaryota, Metazoa, Chordata, Actinopteri, Perciformes, Gasterosteidae.
GUGCUGAGGGCCUCACUGGUGAUCCUGUUUGGUGAUGGUGUCCCUUCGUGUGUAGUGUCUUAUUCACUCCCCUCCUUUGUUUUGCUUUGCCCUUGUGUGUUUGGAGUGUUAAUUUUGGAUUGUGGUGCUCCCAUUUUAAGUUUAUACUUUCACCCCUCACUCACCUUGAGCACAAAUGCCCCAGCCCUGGAAUACAUGAUAAUUUAUACAAAUAGGAUAACUUUUUUAGAUUUGAAUUGUGCCCAAUAAACUGUUGUAUAUGCUUUUGGAAACACGUCUCUCGCCUGCUCAGUGUAACGAACUUGUGUCGUCCUUUUGUUUAGAUUUAGUAAUUUACCUUAUUCAUAGAUUUCUUUCUUUUCCCUGGGUGAUUUCUCCCAGGGUGGCGUUGCUGGUUUCCUUUAGUUUCUUUCUUUUUCCCCUAGUUAAAAACCAUAGAUUAUUGGGGUAGUUCCUACCCCACCUCACGCUUGCCACAAACUUGGCGUUGCUGGCAGGACUUAUACUGAAAAAAAAAAGGCAGAGACGUGUGUUCCUUUGUUUUUGUUGUUUGUUUUUUGUUUUUUUGAAUAAGACAAAGCAGCAGCAGUCCCCUGGCAACCAUGGAGGAAGAAAUGCAAGAGUUGCGAGCUCUGGUUGCGCAGUUAAAGGCUGACAAUGAGAGGUUGCGUCAAGCUUCGUUGGUGCCGCCCUCUAGUGCUACACCUUCAACCUCCUCAGUACUGCCGACUGCCCUUACUUCUGCCAGUGCCCCUGCAGCCGAGAGACGAGACCCCAGUCACGCAACGCUACAGGCGUGUAUCCCCUUCUGAUUAUGAGGCUGUCAAAGACCACAUUAAUCAGCUUCUUUCUGCUCAGGUGCUGAGGGCCUCACUGGUGAUCCUGUUUGGUGAUGGUGUCCCUUCGUGUGUAGUGUCUUAUUCACUCCCCUCCUUUGUUUUGCUUUGCCCUUGUGUGUUUGGAGUGUUAAUUUUGGAUUGUGGUGCUCCCAUUUUAAGUUUAUACUUUCACCCCUCACUCACCUUGAGCACAAAUGCCCCAGCCCUGGAAUACAUGAUAAUUUAUACAAAUAGGAUAACUUUUUUAGAUUUGAAUUGUGCCCAAUAAACUGUUGUAUAUGCUUUUGGAAA